CCUACGGGAGGCAGCAGUAGGGAAUAUUGCUCAAUGGGCGAAACCCUGAAGCAGCAACGCCGCGUGGUGGAUGAAGGUUUUCGGAUUGUAAGCUCUUUUUGUUAGAGAAGCAAAUGACGGUACCUAACGAAUAAGCACCGGCUAACUCCGUGCCAGCAGCCGCGGUACUACGGGAGGUGCAAGCGUUAACCGGAAUCCCUGGGCGUAAAGGGGGCGGAGGCGGGAUAGCAAGUCAGGUGGUAAAUCCUUUGGCUGAACGUUAGAACUGCAGUGGAAACUGGUGAUCUAGAGUGAGGGAGAGGCAGGUGGAAUUCUUGGUGUAGGGGUGAAAGGCGUAGAGAUCGGGAGGAAUACUGAUUGCGAAGGCAACGUGCUGGGACGUAACUGACGCUGAGGCACGAAAGCGUGGGGAGCGAACAGGAUUAGAUACCCCAGUAGUC
This 440-nucleotide ribosomal RNA is filed under the name uncultured bacterium. RNAcentral's name for it is "partial 16S ribosomal RNA". It matches the Rfam family "Bacterial small subunit ribosomal RNA", at positions 338 to 795 of the family's 1533-position model. The record is from RNAcentral.